RNAcentral lists this ribosomal RNA (501 nucleotides) under uncultured bacterium. RNAcentral's name for it is "partial 16S ribosomal RNA". It matches the Rfam family "Bacterial small subunit ribosomal RNA", at positions 355 to 872 of the family's 1533-position model. The record is from RNAcentral.
UGGGGAAUAUUGGACAAUGGGGGCAACCCUGAUCCAGCAAUGCCGCGUGUGUGAAGAAGGUCUUCGGAUUGUAAAGCACUUUCGACGGGGACGAUGAUGACGGUACCCGUAGAAGAAGCCCCGGCUAACUUCGUGCCAGCAGCCGCGGUAAUACGAAGGGGGCUAGCGUUGCUCGGAAUGACUGGGCGUAAAGGGCGUGUAGGCGGUUUACACAGUCGGAUGUGAAAUCCCCGGGCUUAACCUGGGAGCUGCAUUUGAUACGUGUAGACUAGAGUGUGAGAGAGGGUUGUGGAAUUCCCAGUGUAGAGGUGAAAUUCGUAGAUAUUGGGAAGAACACCGGUGGCGAAGGCGGCAACCUGGCUCAUGACUGACGCUGAGGCGCGAAAAGCGUGGGGAGCAAACAGGAUUAGAUACCCUGGUAGUCCACGCUGUAAACGAUGUGUGCUAGAUGUUGGGUAACUUUGUUAUUCAGUGUCGCAGUUAACGCGUUAAGCACACCGC